This 27-nucleotide non-coding RNA is filed under the name Rattus norvegicus (Norway rat). Lineage: Eukaryota; Metazoa; Chordata; Mammalia; Rodentia; Muridae. The record is from RNAcentral.
CAGACUAGAUUAUAUUAAAGGCAGGUU